RNAcentral lists this ribosomal RNA (352 nucleotides) under uncultured bacterium. RNAcentral's name for it is "partial 16S ribosomal RNA". It matches the Rfam family "Bacterial small subunit ribosomal RNA", at positions 338 to 707 of the family's 1533-position model. The record is from RNAcentral.
CCUACGGGUGGCAGCAGUAAGGGAUAUUGGUCAAUGGGGGAAACCCUGAACCAGCAACGCCGCGUGAGGGAAGACGGUUUUCGGAUUGUAAACCUCUGUCCUCUGUGAAGAUGAUGACGGUAGCAGAGGAGGAAGCUCCGGCUAACUACGUGCCAGCAGCCGCGGUAAUACGUAGGGAGCGAGCGUGGUCCGGAUUUACUGGGUGUAAAGGGUGAGUAGGCGGUUUGGCAAGUCAGUAGGGAAAUGCAGGGGCUGAAACCAUGAACUGCUAGUGAAACGGUCAAGCUUGAGUGAAGUAGAGGUAGGCGGAAGCAGCGGUGGAGCGGGGAAAUGCAUAGAGAGCGCGAAGAAC